Molecule: ribosomal RNA, 478 nt
Filed under: uncultured bacterium
Lineage: Bacteria
Description: partial 16S ribosomal RNA
Rfam family: Bacterial small subunit ribosomal RNA
Source: RNAcentral
GAUGAACGCUGGCGGCGUGCUUAACACAUGCAAGUCGAACGGGAAACCUUUUAUUGAAGCUUCGGCAGAUUUAGCUGGUUUCUAGUGGCGGACGGGUGAGUAACGCGUGGGUAACCUGCCUUAUACAGGGGGAUAACAACCAGAAAUGGUUGCUAAUACCGCAUAAGCGCACAGGACCGCAUGGUCCGGUGUGGAAAACUCCGGUGGUAUAAGAUGGACCCGCGUUGGAUUAGCUAGUUGGCAGGGUAACGGCCUACCAAGGCGACGAUCCAUAGCCGGCCUGAGAGGGUGACCGGCAACAUUGGGAGUGAGACACGGCCCAGACUCCUACGGGAGGCAGCAGUGGGGAAUAUUGAACAAUGGGGGAAAGCAUGAUGCAGCGACGCCGCGUGAAGGAAGAAGUAUCUCGGUAUGUAAACUUCUAUCAGCAGGGAAGAUAGUGACGGUACCUGACUAAGAAGCCCCGGCUAACUACGUG